AUUGCCCCAGUAACGGCGAGUGAAGCGGCAACAGCUCAAAUUUGAAAUCUGGCCCCCCCCGGGGCCCGAGUUGUAAUUUGUAGAGGAAGCUUUGGGCGCGGCACCCACCGAGUCCCCUGGAACGGGGCGCCAUAGAGGGUGAGAGCCCCGUAGGGUGGGAUGCCCAGCCCCUGUAAAGCUCCUUCGACGAGUCGAGUAGUUUGGGAAUGCUGCUCAAAAUGGGAGGUAAAUUUCUUCUAAAGCUAAAUACUGGCCAGAGACCGAUAGCGCACAAGUAGAGUGAUCGAAAGAUGAAAAGCACUUUGAAAAGAGGGUUAAACAGCACGUGAAAUUGUUGAAAGGGAAGCGCUUGUGACCAGACUUGCGCCCGGCUGAUCAGUCCGGUGUUCUUCACCGGUGCACUCUGCCGGGCCCAGGCCAGCAUCGGUUCUCGCGGGGGGAGAAAGGCCCGGGGAACGUAGCUCCUCCGGGAGUGUUAUAGCCCCUGGCGGCAUGCCCUCGCGGGGACCGAGGUUCGCGCAUUCGCAAGGAUGCUGGCGUAAUGGUCAUCAGCGACCCGUCUUGAAACACGGACCAAGGAGUCAAGGUUUUGCGCGAGUGUUUGGGUGUCAAACCCGCACGCGUAAUGAAAGUGAACGUAGGUGAGAGCUUCGGCGCAUCAUCGACCGAUCCUGAUGUAUUCGGAUGGAUUUGAGUAGGAGCGUUAAGCCUUGGACCCGAAAGAUGGUGAACUAUGCUUGGAUAGGGUGAAGCCAGAGGAAACUCUGGUGGAGGCUCGCAGCGGUUCUGACGUGCAAAUCGAUCGUCAAAUCUGAGCAUGGGGCGAAAGACUAAUCGAACCAUCU
Molecule: ribosomal RNA, 845 nt
Filed under: Rhypophila decipiens
Lineage: Eukaryota; Fungi; Ascomycota; Sordariomycetes; Sordariales; Naviculisporaceae
Description: LSU rRNA
Rfam family: Eukaryotic large subunit ribosomal RNA
Source: RNAcentral